AUUGAACGCUGGCGGCAUGCCUAACACAUGCAAGUCGAACGCGAAAGGGGGCGAACCCUGAGUAGAGUGGCGGACGGGUGAGUAACGCAUCGGAAUUUACCCUGUCGUGGGGGAGUAACCAAGGGAAACGUUUAGGUCUAAUACCGCAUGAUCUGGUGACAGCAAAGCGGGGGACCGUGCAAGGGCCGUCGCGCGAUGGGAUGAGCCGAUGUCUGAUUAGCUAGUUGGUAGGGUAAAGGCCUACCAAGGCGACGAUCAGUAGCUGGUCUGAGAGGAUGAUCAGCCACACUGGGACUGAGACACGGCCCAGACUCCUACGGGAGGCAGCAGUGGGGAAUAUUGGACAAUGGGCGCAAGCCUGAUCCAGCGAUGCCGCGUGUGUGAAGAAGGCCUGCGGGUUGUAAAG
RNAcentral lists this ribosomal RNA (406 nucleotides) under uncultured bacterium. RNAcentral's name for it is "bacterial SSU rRNA". It matches the Rfam family "Bacterial small subunit ribosomal RNA", at positions 29 to 430 of the family's 1533-position model. The record is from RNAcentral.